GGGGCUCUGCGCGGCUACCAUGCAGUCGAGCGGAGCCAUGAAAGCACUUCUGUGUGAGUAGAGCGGCGGACGGGUGAGUAAUGCUUGGGAAUUUGCCCAGUAGUGGGGGACAACAUGUGGAAACGCAUGCUAAUACCGCAUACGCCCUAUGGGGGAAAGCAGGGGAUCUUCGGACCUUGCGCUAUUGGAGAAGCCUGCGUCGGAUUAGCUAGUUGGUGGGGUAAAGGCCCACCAAGGCAACGAUCCGUAGCUGGUCUGAGAGGAUGAUCAGCCACACUGGGACUGAGACACGGCCCAGACUCCUACGGGAGGCAGCAGUGGGGAAUAUUGGACAAUGGGCGAAAGCCUGAUCCAGCCAUGCCGCGUGUGUGAAGAAGGCCUUAGGGUUGUAAAGCACUUUCAGUAGGGAGGAAAAGUUAGUCGUUAAUAACGGCUAACCCUGACGUUACCUACAGAAGAAGCACCGGCAAACUCCGUGCCAGCAGCCGCGGUAAUACGAGGGGUGCAAGCGUUAAUCGGAAUUACUGGGCGUAAAGCGCGCGUAGGUGGUUAGGUAAGUUGGAUGUGAAAGCCCCGGGCUUAACCUGGGAACUGCAUUCAAAACUGUCUAGCUGGAGUACGGAUAAGGGGGGUAGAAUUUCAGGUGUAGCGGUGAAAUGCGUAGAGAUCUGAAGGAAUACCAGUGGCGAAGGCGGCCCCCUGGAUUGAUACUGACACUGAGGUGCGAAAGCGUGGGUAGCAAACAGGAUUAGAUACCCUGGUAGUCCAUGCCGUAAACGAUGUCAACUAGCCGUUGGAAGACUUGAUCUUUUAGUGGCGCAGCUAACGCAAUAAGUUGACCGCCUGGGGAGUACGGCCGCAAGGUUAAAACUCAAAUGAAUUGACGGGGGCCCGCACAAGCGGUGGAGCAUGUGGUUUAAUUCGAAGCAACGCGAAGAACCUUACCUACUCUUGACAUCCUCAGAACUUAGCAGAGAUGCUUUGGUGCCUUCGGGAACUGAGUGACAGGUGCUGCAUGGCUGUCGUCAGCUCGUGUUGUGAAAUGUUGGGUUAAGUCCCGUAACGAGCGCAACCCUUGUCCUUAUUUGCCAGCACGUAAUGGUGGGAACUUUAAGGAGACUGCCGGUGACAAACCGGAGGAAGGUGGGGACGACGUCAAGUCAUCAUGGCCCUUAUGAGUAGGGCUACACACGUGCUACAAUGGCGGGUACAGAGGGCAGCGAGACCGCGAGGUGGAGCAAAUCCCAGAAAGCCGGUCGUAGUCCGGAUUGGAGUCUGCAACUCGACUCCAUGAAGUCGGAAUCGCUAGUAACCGCGACAUUGCUCGAUCUUUU
This 1334-nucleotide ribosomal RNA is filed under the name uncultured prokaryote. Its description in RNAcentral is "partial 16S ribosomal RNA". It matches the Rfam family "Bacterial small subunit ribosomal RNA", at positions 32 to 1368 of the family's 1533-position model. The record is from RNAcentral.